GAAGGGUUUGAGGGGAUGUUGCAGUUGCAUCGUUUUUCUUUACGAUCUCAUUUCAUCCUCUUCAAACAUUUCGAGUUUUAGCUUUUGAUUCUGCUGCACCUUAUGUUCACCUGCAAGAUGUAGGAGUUUGGAUUCCUGUGGUCAUCAAGAAUUUACUUUCUGUGUAUCAAGUGAAGUGAUGACUACAUUUAAAAGAAGAGUGACCCCCACGAGGAUAAUGAGGACUGCCAGUGUAUUGAAGAGGUACCUUGAUGAUCAUCAGGAGUUGUUAAGCGAACAUCAUUUGAAGCAAGCAGUGAACUGAGAAGACAAGUAAACGUGAAAAGAGGGAUCUCAAAGCAGAGAAAGUUAGAAAAUGGAUUCUGUUGAAAAAAACUGCUUCCAUUUUGUGUUUUGAGUCAAGGUGGGAUGAUAUUUAUACACAAUGCUUAUGAGUAGUGGGAAAAGAUAACAGGACAAAAACAGGAGCAAAUUACUGCAAAUGAUGGAAUCGGUGUAGGAAACAGAAAAUACUUGAAAUCACAAUGGGUCAGGCAGCAUCUGUGGAGAGAGAGAGCAAGCUAAUAUUUCGAGUCCAGAUGACUUUUCAUCAGAGCUGACAUGAACUGUGGUAUUCAUCUUGUCAAUAAAUAUCAGUUUUCUUAUUGUUAUGAAACAUUUUCUUGUCUUGUUCCUUUUUAACAUGUUAAAAAGAUUUAUAUUCCAGAUGGGUUUUUGUUUGUGAUUUUGAGGAUUCAAACAUUUAAAUAUCAGCAGUCAGGUGAAGGAUAAAUCCUUCUUUCACAUUACCCACAACAUUUGCCUUAACACUGCUCAAAGGGAAGGAGUUUGAGAUCCCGCUUUGGUCAGGAAGACGGCGGGGAGCCUAGCCAACAUGCUGAUUUCCUGAAUUCCCCAUUCCGAAUGUCAACUAUUUUAAUUAAUACAGGCACAUGUCGCACCCUUCAAGCCACCUGCUCCACAUUUUUGGGCAGAUGACUGUGCUUGU
Non-coding RNA from Chiloscyllium plagiosum (whitespotted bambooshark), 988 nucleotides. The record is from RefSeq and is a predicted model, not a curated record. NCBI's taxonomy places the organism in Eukaryota, Metazoa, Chordata, Chondrichthyes, Orectolobiformes, Hemiscylliidae.